Erinaceus europaeus (western European hedgehog) is the source of this 340-nucleotide long non-coding RNA. RefSeq lists it as uncharacterized. NCBI's taxonomy places the organism in Eukaryota, Metazoa, Chordata, Mammalia, Eulipotyphla, Erinaceidae. The record is from RefSeq and is a predicted model, not a curated record. The transcript has 4 exons.
GAUUUGCUUGGAUAGCAAAAAUGAAAAGUUUUCUGCUCCAUAUGUAACGAUGCUACUAAUUUGCCCAUAGAAACACACAUGGAAUAACAAAGAAGAUCACCUGAUAGCACAACAAGACGAGACUGGGACUGCUUUGGGAACCCUCCAAAUCACUGAUUUCCUCCACAAGGGAUGAGCACAAUGCAUCAGACAUGGUGUGAUGAGACCCUGAGAAGCCUGAACCAUCCAGACUGAUGCACAAGAACAAUCAGGAAGGACUGAAAGGUUGGAGGCAUAUCUGGAGAAGACUAGGAUUGAACAUCUAGUGAGGAUAAUGAGAGAUUUGCUGUGAAGAAAGCGG